AUGAUGUCAGUGUCUCAACAUUUCACCAACCUGGAUUUUCACAAAGCACAUCAGUCUCGUUGUCUGGAAUCAGGUAUUCAGCACCACAUUCCUAUUCCAGAAUGGAACUCCAAGUGGAGAUUCUGUUCAGAUGCCUUGAAGUCAGGAAGUCAUGUCACAAGUAAUGCAGACCUGAGCAAAGAACACAUCCAAGUUAGUGACCCACUAGUCUGUAUAUUACUACAAGAGGCUUUGGGAACACUGGACAAGGAGGCCAUCAGAUCAAAGUUAGCAUCACCAAAAAUCAGAUAUAUGCUUGUCAUUGAGGAUCAUCAUUUACAGCCAGUCACCACAUGCUGA
Molecule: long non-coding RNA, 339 nt
Filed under: Oncorhynchus mykiss (rainbow trout)
Lineage: Eukaryota; Metazoa; Chordata; Actinopteri; Salmoniformes; Salmonidae
Description: lncRNA (ENSOMYG00000074470.1)
Source: RNAcentral